GUUGGUAUCUCAGUGGUAGAGUGCAUGCUUUGUAUGUAUGACGUCCAGGGUUCAAUCCCCAGCUUCU
RNAcentral lists this transfer RNA (67 nucleotides) under Dallia pectoralis (Alaska blackfish). RNAcentral describes it as "tRNA-Thr". The stretch from base 5 to 63 matches the Rfam family "tRNA", at positions 7 to 64 of the family's 71-position model. From Rfam's summary of the family: Transfer RNA (tRNA) molecules are approximately 80 nucleotides in length. Lineage: Eukaryota; Metazoa; Chordata; Actinopteri; Esociformes; Umbridae. The record is from RNAcentral.